RNAcentral lists this unclassified non-coding RNA (218 nucleotides) under uncultured Tomentella. RNAcentral's name for it is "sequence contains ITS2". The record is from RNAcentral. Lineage: Eukaryota; Fungi; Basidiomycota; Agaricomycetes; Thelephorales; Thelephoraceae.
ACACCUCAACUCUCACGGCUUGCCGUGAUGAGCUUGGACUUUGGGGGUCUUGUUGGCCUGUGAGCCAGCUCCUCUUAAAUGAAUUAGCUUGCCGGUGUUUGGUGGCAUCACAGGUGUGAUAACUAUCUACGCUUGUGGUUUCCCAUCAGAUAACCUUCAGCAAUGGAGGUUCACUGGGGCUUAUAAACAUCUCUCCUCGGUGAGGACAGAUUUUGACC